This 492-nucleotide ribosomal RNA is filed under the name uncultured bacterium. RNAcentral describes it as "partial 16S ribosomal RNA". It matches the Rfam family "Bacterial small subunit ribosomal RNA", at positions 30 to 507 of the family's 1533-position model. The record is from RNAcentral.
AUUGAACGCUGGCGGCAUGCCUAACACAUGCAAGUCGAACGGUAACACGUUUUCAGCUGCCGCCGACUGGUGGCCGGGUGCGUACUACAUCGGAACAUGUCCAGAUCUGGGGGUUCGCGGGGCGUAAGGUUUGCUAACUUCCCCUACUACCUCAGACUGCCAGCAGGGGAAAGCAAGGCCUUUUGCGUUCUUGCCCGCCGGAAUGAGCCGAUGUCGGAUUAGGUAGUUGGGGGGGUAAAGGCCCACCAAGGCGACGAUCCGUAGCUGGUCUGAGAGGAUGACCAGCCACACUGGGACUGAGACACGGCCCAGACUCCUACGGGAGGCAGCAGUGGGGAAUAUUGGACAAUGGGCGAAAGCCUGAUCCAGCAAUGCCGCGUGCGGGAUGAAGGCCUUCGGGUUGUAAACUGCUUUUGUACGGAAAGAAAAGGCUCUGGCUAAUACCUGGGGGACAUGACGGUACCGUAAGAAUAAGCACCGGCUAACUACGUG